Molecule: unclassified non-coding RNA, 281 nt
Filed under: uncultured bacterium
Lineage: Bacteria
Description: partial contains 16S ribosomal RNA and 16S-23S ribosomal RNA intergenic spacer region
Rfam family: Bacterial small subunit ribosomal RNA
Source: RNAcentral
GCGGUAGCAAUACUGCCCUAGAGUGGCGAACGGGUGAGUAAGACGUAGGUGAUCUGCCUCUGGAUGGGGGAUAGCCCGUGGAAACACGGGGUAAUACCGCAUGAGGCCCUUGGUGUAAAGGCCCGGAGUGAAAGGUGCAACUGCACCGUCUGGGGAUGAGCCUGCGGUCCAUUAGGUAGUUGUUUUUUUUUUGGCCUACCAAGCAAGCAGAUGGAUAGCCGGCCUGAGAGGGUGUACGGCCACACUUUAAUCCCAUCACGGGGUAGUAUCNUANGGGNUGA